GUUGAACGCUGGCGGCGUGCCUAACACAUGCAAGUCGAGCGAACAGACGAGACACUUUCCUCUUUCACGGUAGCGGCGGGCGGGGGAGUAACAUGUGGGUAACCCAGCUAGAAGGCUGGGAUUACCUCCUGAAACCGGUACCAAUUCCGGCAAAUCUAUUGAACCGCAAGGUUCAAGAGUUAAGGGCGGCUUUGCUGCGACUGAUAGAUGGUGCCGCGCCGCAUUAGCUAGUUGGUAAGGUAACAGCUUACCAAGGCGACGAUGCGUAGCCGACCUGAGAGGGUGACCGGCCACACUGGAACUGAGACACGGUCCAGACUCCUACGGGAGGCAGCAGUAGGGAAUCUUGCGCAAUGGGCGAAAGCCUGACGGAGCCACGCCGCGUGAGUGAUGAAGGUCUUCGGGUCGUAAAACUCUGUCAUUAGGGAAGAACAAAUGUAUAAUAAAAUAUGCGCGUCUUGACGGUACCUGCACAGAAAGCCACGGCUAACUACGUG
RNAcentral lists this ribosomal RNA (497 nucleotides) under uncultured bacterium. RNAcentral's name for it is "partial 16S ribosomal RNA". It matches the Rfam family "Bacterial small subunit ribosomal RNA", at positions 28 to 507 of the family's 1533-position model. The record is from RNAcentral.